This 69-nucleotide ribosomal RNA is filed under the name Pseudoalteromonas haloplanktis. RNAcentral's name for it is "partial 16S ribosomal RNA". It matches the Rfam family "Bacterial small subunit ribosomal RNA", at positions 1465 to 1533 of the family's 1533-position model. The record is from RNAcentral. Lineage: Bacteria; Pseudomonadati; Pseudomonadota; Gammaproteobacteria; Alteromonadales; Pseudoalteromonadaceae. RNAcentral also lists the same sequence under 5 other names.
UGAUUCAUGACUGGGGUGAAGUCGUAACAAGGUAGCCCUAGGGGAACCUGGGGCUGGAUCACCUCCUUA